UACGGAGGGUGCAAGCGUUAUCCGGAUUCACUGGGGUUAAAGGGCGCGUAGGCGGCUUUGCAAGUGGCGGGUGAAAUCCCUCGGCUUAACCGAGGAACUGCCUGCCAGACUGCAAGGCUCGAGACCGGGAGAGGUGAGUGGAAUUCCCAGUGUAGCGGUGAAAUGCGUAGAUAUUGGGAGGAACACCAGUGGCGAAGGCGGCUCACUGGACCGGAACUGACGCUGAGGCGCGAAAGCGUGGGGAGCAAACAGG
This 253-nucleotide ribosomal RNA is filed under the name uncultured bacterium. RNAcentral describes it as "partial 16S ribosomal RNA". It matches the Rfam family "Bacterial small subunit ribosomal RNA", at positions 524 to 776 of the family's 1533-position model. The record is from RNAcentral.